UCUCAGCCUGAGCAAUGCUGGAGCCCCAAAGAUUCUGAAGCCCCAAUUCUAAGUGAGGGCAGAGCCGCAUCCUCCAAACCCCCCAUAAUCAGUGCUGGGACUGGAAGAAUCAGACCAGGAAAGGUGACAGAAUGUCAGAGGAGUUGGGACAUUACCCUCAGGUCACUGAGCCACAGUAGAGUUUUGAAAAGGUGAGGAGAAUCAGAUUAAAAAGUCUAUGGGGGGACUUCCCUGGUGGUCCAGUGGCUAAGAAUCAGCCUGCCAACGCAGGGAACAUGGGUUUGAUCCCUGGUCUGGGAAGAUCCCACAUGUUAUGGGGCAACUAAGCCAAUGUGCCACAACUACUGAGUCCAUAUGCUCUAGAGCCCAGGGGCCACUGCAAUGAGAAGGCUCAAGAGAAGCCACUGCAAUGAGAAGGCCGCGCACAGCAACUAGAGAAAGUUCCCAUGCAACAACGAAGGCCUAGCACAGCCAAAAAAAAAAAAGCCUGUGGGGGUGGGAAAGGAGGUGAAGGUGGUUUAUCCCAAAUCAGGCCUCAGCUGCCUGGGUGGAUACCAGCAGGGGGCAUGUAGGCCCCCUAAUAAGGGGGUGGGGUCAGAUUUGCUGGGAAGACCAGAGAAGGCCAUGCCUAGGGGAAGGGAUGUCAGGAAGGACAGAUAAAUGCUGAACCCUUGGGUAGGACAAAAGGAAGGACAGACAGGCUUGUGUUCAGGAGAGAUCCAGACAUGCUUUGAUGCCCCCAGAGCGUCCACAGCCGCCUCAGACGCCAGACCCGCGGCUCUCCUCCUCCAGCUGAGUAUCGGAUGACCUGGCAGCCCCCAUCCAGCAUCGGGAAGCUACGCUGGAAAAGGGGUCCAGACAGCUGGUUCGGAACGUUUGAAACAAAGGCGGCAAUACAGUCGUAUGAGGAAGAACCAGAAGUUGCCAGAGCUCGUUACACAGGCGGUGAUGAGGUCCUGCUGUGGGAAAUUACCCAGCCCCAGAGGCAGGGCUCUGGGCUUCACAUAUAAAGCCACUGGGCCAAAGGCUGCGGACUCAAGAGUUUGCAGAGGAUGUUCACGGCGUGAUUGAUCAUAUGAUCACAGGAAGCAAGCUGUGGGACUCCGCUGGCGGUCCAGUGGACAUGCAGAGCUUCCCUGACCAGGGAUCGAACCCAUGCCUCCUGCAGUGGAAGCCCAGAGUCUUAACCACUGGAUUGCCAGGGAAGUCCUUUUAACUUAUUAUUAUUAUUAGUUAAUAUUUUAAC
Molecule: long non-coding RNA, 1246 nt
Organism: Bos taurus (domestic cattle)
Lineage: Eukaryota; Metazoa; Chordata; Mammalia; Artiodactyla; Bovidae
Source: Ensembl